This 253-nucleotide ribosomal RNA is filed under the name uncultured bacterium. Its description in RNAcentral is "partial 16S ribosomal RNA". It matches the Rfam family "Bacterial small subunit ribosomal RNA", at positions 524 to 776 of the family's 1533-position model. The record is from RNAcentral.
UACGUAGGGGGCAAGCGUUGUCCGGAUUUAUUGGGCGUAAAGAGCGUGUAGGCGGCCAGAAAAGUCCGCUGUGAAAACUCGAGGCUCAACUUCGAGCUGUCGGUGGAAACUUUCUGGCUAGAGUCCGGAAGAGGAGAAUGGAAUUCCUGGUGUAGCGGUGAAAUGCGCAGAUAUCAGGAAGAACACCCGUGGCGAAGGCGGUUCUCUGGGACGGUACUGACGCUGAGACGCGAAAGCGUGGGGAGCGAACAGG